CGAAAAUAACCCUUUGCUCCCUCGUUGGUUUUGUUGAGGUUGAGGGGUGGGACUGUGUUCCCCUCUGCUCGCUCUCGUUUUUCCUGCCCUUUAACAGCUCGCCCCCAGCCCCAACCCCCAAGGAAGAAAGAGGGAGGUAACGCUGAGGAAGGGUGGAAAGCAGUUCUGCGUCCGUGGGUGGAGCCCGCCCCUUGGCUGACCGCAUGGUGCCCGCACGGUCCCUUCCCUUCCCCCAGCGUCCAGCGCCCGGAGGUUCUGGAUUUGCGCCAUGCUCAGCAGCUGGAGUCACAUCUUCGUUUCCCUGCCCAUUUCCAACAUCUUAGAGUUGAUGCGUCCUUUUUUACUUAAAACAACUACAACCAACCAUGUUCUCAGGGUUGUUUUAAGCAAAAUCAAACAACCCCUCCAAAAAAAGCAAACGAAAAAUUCCGGGUAAAAUCAACUAUGCUGAGACCACGUUUUCGUUGAAGCUGCCCUAAGACCAAUGAAGCUGAGACCGACCUUCAAGGAUUAACGAUUUCUGUAGCUGAAAUGUUCUAAUUUCACUGACGUUUGGUGGAGACGGUGAGAAAAAAUAAAUAUGAAUUUGACUUGGAAAAGCACAAAACAAACGAAAUAAUAAUAUUUAAUUUGAUUAACUGAGAAGGCAAACAGCCACAGUGGUGUAUUCUAGGUACUGGUGUCUUUGGUGAGUUUGUAAUUAUAUAAAUAAAUUGCUGUUGGUUUCAUCAAAAAUACAGAUCAGAACUCUGGCCGUGACAAAAAAGGAAGGAAGUAUAAAUUUGUUUGGUAUAUCUAAUUUUAUAACAGACUUUACCAACCUUUCAUUAUCUGGAGAAAAGGAAAUGUACCAGUUAACAAUAUAAGUUAAUUUGUUUGCAGAUAAUUGUUCAUUUUUUGUCUUGACAAAAUACUCUGUUUGGUUAAAAACGGUAAAAUGAUAAUUCAGUAAAUAUUUAAAACUUUGAGAGAAUUGGUUUAAA
Molecule: long non-coding RNA, 983 nt
Filed under: Homo sapiens (human)
Lineage: Eukaryota; Metazoa; Chordata; Mammalia; Primates; Hominidae
Description: non-protein coding lnc-CCDC126-5:1
Source: RNAcentral